RNAcentral lists this ribosomal RNA (432 nucleotides) under uncultured Sphingobacteriales bacterium. RNAcentral's name for it is "bacterial SSU rRNA". It matches the Rfam family "Bacterial small subunit ribosomal RNA", at positions 950 to 1382 of the family's 1533-position model. Lineage: Bacteria; Pseudomonadati; Bacteroidota; Sphingobacteriia; Sphingobacteriales. The record is from RNAcentral.
UUCGAUGAUACGCGAGGAACCUUACCUGGGCUCGAACGUAAGAUGACUGUAGGUGAAAGCUUACAUCUCUUCGGAGCAUUUUACGAGGUGCUGCAUGGUUGUCGUCAGCUCGUGCCGUGAGGUGUCGGGUUAAGUCCCAUAACGAGCGCAACCCCUACCUUUAGUUGCCAUCAGGUUAAGCUGGGGACUCUAAAGGAACUGCCUACGCAAGUAGUGAGGAAGGCGGGGAUGACGUCAAAUCAGCACGGCCCUUACGUCCAGGGCUACACACGUGCUACAAUGGCCGAUACAGAGGGCAGCUACCUGGUGACAGGAUGCAAAUCUCCAAAGUCGGUCUCAGUUCGGAUCGGAGUCUGCAACCCGACUCCGUGAAGUUGGAUUCGCUAGUAAUCGCGCAUCAGCCAUGGCGCGGUGAAUACGUUCCCGGGCCUU